This 439-nucleotide ribosomal RNA is filed under the name uncultured bacterium. RNAcentral describes it as "partial 16S ribosomal RNA". It matches the Rfam family "Bacterial small subunit ribosomal RNA", at positions 339 to 795 of the family's 1533-position model. The record is from RNAcentral.
CUACGGGUGGCAGCAGUGAGGAAUAUUGCACAAUGGGGGGAACCCUGAUGCAGCAACGCCGCGUGGAGGAUGACGCAUUUCGGUGUGUAAACUCCUUUUAUAUGUCAAGAAAAUGACGGUAGCAUAUGAAUAAGCACCGGCUAACUCCGUGCCAGCAGCCGCGGUAAUACGGAGGGUGCAAGCGUUACUCGGAAUCACUGGGCGUAAAGGACGCGUAGGCGGGUUGGAAAGUCAGGUGUGAAAUCCUACAGCUUAACUGUAGAACUGCACUUGAAACUUCUAAUCUAGAGUAUGGGAGGGGGAGAUGGAAUUAGUGGUGUAGGGGUAAAAUCCGUAGAUAUCACUAGGAAUACCUAAAGCGAAGGCGAUCUCCUGGAACAUUACUGACGCUAAGGCGUGAAAGCGCGGGAAGCAAACAGGAUUAGAUACCCUUGUAGUC